Mastomys coucha (southern multimammate mouse) is the source of this 1078-nucleotide long non-coding RNA. RefSeq lists it as uncharacterized. NCBI's taxonomy places the organism in Eukaryota, Metazoa, Chordata, Mammalia, Rodentia, Muridae. The transcript is spliced from 3 exons. The record is from RefSeq and is a predicted model, not a curated record.
CAGAGGUUAGGGAGAAACCAAGAGUUGGCCUCUUGCACAGGCCCAGUCUCUGGAGCUGAUCACUCUGCAGAGUUCUGUCCUUACCCCCUCCCAGGCCUCCGCCAUCCACUGUAGCCAAGACACCAUAGUCUUGCCCUGUGGCCUGUCUCACAGUGCAGGUAUGACCAUGGUACAGGCUGGCAAGGCUGCAGAUCACGGGAAACCACCACUGAGAAGCAAGCUUGUUGUAGCCCUUCCCCCAUGCCACCAAGGUCACCUGGGAAAGCCCCAGGGAUGAUCAGCAAGCAGAAGAAACAAGGUCCCUACAGACUAUUGAAGCAGUGGACCCCAGGAACUGAAAUUACCUCAGAAUUCUCAUCCCUUGAGAGAAGAAAGCCUAAAGCUUGGACCAGCAAGAAGAGAAACUGUUCUGGAAAGACACUUCCAAUUUGUCAUGACACUUCACAGGAGAGGCGGUGACGGGUGGGACUACACCUUACUCAGGACUGUUGAAAUAUGCAUGACUUUGGCUUCUGCUUUAACCUCAACCUCAGAUCACGACUAGAAAGAUGGACUUGCUGGGCUCACUGGACAUCUGUCCCCUCUCCCCGUGUGGCCAUCUGCAGAGUCCAUUCUAGUGAGUCCAGCCCUUACCACUUUCCAGGCCUCCGAUGAACCUUGGCACUUUUCUUCCCACUUGCCAUCCCUUAGCCCAUCCCUGCAGCUUCUGUAGACACACCUCAUUCCCGGGACACUUCUGAGGUGGCACCUCAGAGGCCCCAGGGACAGGACCUGCAGGGCAAAUGUCUUUAGCACCCAAUCUGGGGUAAUUAGACAUUCACUCACAUCUCUUAGGGAAAGUCACAUAAUAUAUGAAGCUAGGCUGGAAGGAAGCUCCAGAGUGGUGGCCUAAUGUUGCCUGGUUGCUCUAGCUAUCCGCCUGAAGAGUCAAUACAGCCUUGUGCAUAUACUACCAUGAUGCAGGCUACCAAUUUAGCUUUUCAAAAAUUAAAAAUUAAAAUAAAAUAAAAGCAGUUAAAUCACCUCCUGGGGGCUAGAGUCCAAACUGAGCUUCUUGGGCACAGGCUCCAGCUCUAAG